UGGUCGGUUAGCUCAGUUGGCAGAGCACCUGCUCGACACGCAGGGGGUCAGAGGUUCAAGUCCUCUACCGACCAUUUU
This 78-nucleotide transfer RNA is filed under the name Sulfurihydrogenibium azorense Az-Fu1. RNAcentral's name for it is "tRNA-Val". It matches the Rfam family "tRNA". Rfam says of the family: Transfer RNA (tRNA) molecules are approximately 80 nucleotides in length. Their secondary structure includes four short double-helical elements and three loops (D, anti-codon, and T loops). Lineage: Bacteria; Pseudomonadati; Aquificota; Aquificia; Aquificales; Hydrogenothermaceae. The record is from RNAcentral.